AAAGGCCAAUCAAACCGGGAGAUAGCUGGUUCUCCCCGAAAGCUAUUUAGGUAGCGCCUCGUGAAUUCAUCUUCGGGGGUAGAGCACUGUUUCGGCUAGGGGGUCAUCCCGACUUACCAACCCGAUGCAAACUACGAAUACCGAAGAAUGUUAUCACGGGAGACACACGGCGGGUGCUAACGUCCGUCGUGAAGAGGGAAACAACCCAGACCGCCAGCUAAGGUCCCAAAGUCAUGGUUAAGUGGGAAACGAUGUGGGAAGGCACAGACAGCCAGGAUGUUGGCUUAGAAGCAGCCAUCAUUUAAAGAAAGCGUAAUAGCUCACUGGUCGAGUCGGCCUGCGCGGAAGAUGUAACGGGGCUAAACCAUGCACCGAAGCUGCGGCAGCGACACUAUGUGUUGUUGGGUAGGGGAGCGUUCUGUAAGCCGUUGAAGGUGGCCUGUGAGGGUUGCUGGAGGUAUCAGAAGUGCGAAUGCUGACAUAAGUAACGAUAAAGCGGGUGAAAAGCCCGCUCGCCGGAAGACCAAGGGUUCCUGUCCAACGUUAAUCGGGGCAGGGUGAGUCGACCCCUAAGGCGAGGCCGAAAGGCGUAGUCGAUGGGAAACAGGUUAAUAUUCCUGUACUUGGUGUUACUGCGAAGGGGGGACGGAGAAGGCUAUGUUGGCCGGGCGACGGUUGUCCCGGUUUAAGCGUGUAGGCUGGUUUUCCAGGCAAAUCCGGAAAAUCAAGGCUGAGGCGUGAUGACGAGGCACUACGGUGCUGAAGCAACAAAUGCCCUGCUUCCAGGAAAAGCCUCUAAGCAUCAGGUAACAUCAAAUCGUACCCCAAACCGACACAGGUGGUCAGGUAGAGAAUACCAAGGCGCUUGAGAGAACUCGGGUGAAGGAACUAGGCAAAAUGGUGCCGUAACUUCGGGAGAAGGCACGCUGAUGGUAGGUGAAGUGACUUGCUCAUGGAGCUGAAAUCAGUCGAAGAUACCAGCUGGCUGCAACUGUUUAUUAAAAACACAGCACUGUGCAAACACGAAAGUGGACGUAUACGGUGUGACGCCUGCCCGGUGCCGGAAGGUUAAUUGAUGGGGUUAUCCGUAAGGAGAAGCUCUUGAUCGAAGCCCCGGUAAACGGCGGCCGUAACUAUAACGGUCCUAAGGUAGCGAAAUUCCUUGUCGGGUAAGUUCCGACCUGCACGAAUGGCGUAAUGAUGGCCAGGCUGUCUCCACCCGAGACUCAGUGAAAUUGAACUCGCUGUGAAGAUGCAGUGUACCCGCGGCAAGACGGAAAGACCCCGUGAACCUUUACUAUAGCUUGACACUGAACACUGGUCCUUGAUGUGUAGGAUAGGUGGGAGGCUUUGAAGCGUGGACGCCAGUCUGCGUGGAGCCAACCUUGAAAUACCACCCUUUAAUGUUUGAUGUUCUAACGUAGACCCGUGAUCCGGGUUGCGGACAGUGUCUGGUGGGUAGUUUGACUGGGGCGGUCUCCU
This 1482-nucleotide ribosomal RNA is filed under the name human gut metagenome. RNAcentral's name for it is "bacterial LSU rRNA". It matches the Rfam family "Bacterial large subunit ribosomal RNA", at positions 824 to 2288 of the family's 2925-position model. The record is from RNAcentral.